CCCCAACGCUAGCCCCAUAUAACCCCAACAACAGUCCCAUGUAACCCCAACACCAGCCCCAUGUAGCCCCAGCACCAUCCCCAUGUAACCCCAGCCCCAUCCACAUGUAACCCCAACGCUAGCCCCAUGUAACCCCAGGACCAGCCCCAUGUAACCCCAGCCCCAUGUAACCCCAACACCAGCCCAUGUAACCCCAACACCAGCCCCAUGUAACCCUGACACCAGCCCCAUGUAACCCCAGCCCCAUCCCCAUGUAACACCAACACCAGCCCCAUGUAACACCAACACCAGCCCCAUGUAACCCCAAUACCAGCCCCAUGUAACCCUGACACCAGCCCCAUGUAACCCAGAACCAGCCCCAUGUAACCCUGACACCAGCCCCAUGUAACCCUGAGACCAGCCCCAUGUAACCCCAGAACCAGCCCCAUGUAACCCCAGAACCAGCCCCAUGUAACCCUGACACCAGCCCCUGUAACCCC
Long non-coding RNA from Oncorhynchus tshawytscha (Chinook salmon), 479 nucleotides. The record is from Ensembl. Lineage: Eukaryota; Metazoa; Chordata; Actinopteri; Salmoniformes; Salmonidae.